Equus asinus (donkey) is the source of this 510-nucleotide long non-coding RNA. The record is from Ensembl. Lineage: Eukaryota; Metazoa; Chordata; Mammalia; Perissodactyla; Equidae.
GGGGGAGAGCUCCAUGCAUUGUGAUGGCAGCGAGAAGGCUGCAGAUCCUUCGACUGACCUCGGAGAAGACGUUGCUUCCCUCCUGGGGGAGAGCUCCAUGCAUUGUGAUGGCAGCGAGAAGGCUGCAGAUCCUUCGACUGACUUCGGAGAAGACGUUGCUUCCCUCCUGGGGGAGAGCUCCAUGCAUUGUGAUGGCAGCAAGAAGGCUGCAGCUCCUUCGACUGACUUCGGAGUGUCAACCAAGCAACCUGUUGAAUCCAAGCCAGUGAGAGUGAUAGUGACUUACAUAAAGGCACAACUGCAGAAUGAUGCCGAGGCCCCACGUGGCGUGGGUCCACCCAGCUCCCUGUCUGCAAUGCUUUCAGUCACUGAAGAUUAGAGUCUCCAUAAUCAUACUCGACCCUUUCCUUUCCUUUCCUUCCUGUAAUAUCCCACCAAGAACGCUUUCUCCAAAAUUCUACUACCUCCGUUAUGUUCUCAUCACGUAGACACCAGUCAGCUAAUGCCCCC